UCCACAGUAGCUCAGUGGUAGAGCUAUCGGCUGUUAACCGAUCGGUCGUAGGUUCAAGUCCUACCUGUGGAGCCA
This 75-nucleotide transfer RNA is filed under the name Staphylococcus aureus. Its description in RNAcentral is "tRNA-Asn". It matches the Rfam family "tRNA". Rfam says of the family: Transfer RNA (tRNA) molecules are approximately 80 nucleotides in length. Their secondary structure includes four short double-helical elements and three loops (D, anti-codon, and T loops). Further hydrogen bonds mediate the characteristic L-shaped molecular structure. tRNAs have two regions of fundamental functional importance: the anti-codon, which is responsible for specific mRNA codon recognition, and the 3' end, to which the tRNAs corresponding amino acid is attached (by aminoacyl-tRNA synthetases). tRNAs cope with the degeneracy of the genetic code in two manners: having more than one tRNA (with a specific anti-codon) for a particular amino acid; and 'wobble' base-pairing, i.e. permitting non-standard base-pairing at the 3rd anti-codon position. Lineage: Bacteria; Bacillati; Bacillota; Bacilli; Caryophanales; Staphylococcaceae. The record is from RNAcentral. RNAcentral also lists the same sequence under 2 other names.